Molecule: ribosomal RNA, 253 nt
Filed under: uncultured bacterium
Lineage: Bacteria
Description: partial 16S ribosomal RNA
Rfam family: Bacterial small subunit ribosomal RNA
Source: RNAcentral
UACAGAGACUGCAAGCGUUGUUCGGAUUCAUUGGGCGUAAAGGGUGCGCAGGCGGUGUGCUAAGUCGGCUGUGAAAUCUCACAGCCUAACUGUGAUAGGUCAUUCGAAACUGGCAUGCUAGAGGAUUGGAGAGGAGACUGGAAUAGUUGGUGUAGCAGUGAAAUGCGUAGAGAUCAACUAGAACACCGGUGGCGAAGGCGAGUCUCUGGACAAUUCCUGACGCUCAGGCACGAAAGCCAGGGGAGCAAACGGG